GCAAUACUACGGCCCUAAGUAGGCUAAAGUAAACGAUGAUCCCCAUGGAACUCUGGGGUAAAAUACGUAUCAAAAUGCAAAACCGAGCCUGCCCUGGAAAAAUUAUUUCCGGGCUGGGCCGCUUU
This is a regulatory RNA element of Lonsdalea quercina, 125 nucleotides long. It matches the Rfam family "Enterobacteria greA leader". Lineage: Bacteria; Pseudomonadati; Pseudomonadota; Gammaproteobacteria; Enterobacterales; Pectobacteriaceae. The record is from Rfam.